ACCCACUGGGAUAGCUCAGUUGGUAGAGUAUGAGACUUAAUCUCAGGGUCAUGGGUUUGAGCAGCAUGUUGGGCA
Podarcis lilfordi (Lilford's wall lizard) is the source of this 75-nucleotide non-coding RNA. The record is from the annotation of a GenBank genome assembly. Lineage: Eukaryota; Metazoa; Chordata; Lepidosauria; Squamata; Lacertidae.